Molecule: non-coding RNA, 106 nt
Organism: Mycena rebaudengoi
Lineage: Eukaryota; Fungi; Basidiomycota; Agaricomycetes; Agaricales; Mycenaceae
Source: the annotation of a GenBank genome assembly
GUCUUUGUGGAGUAAUAUAUAUGAUACUCACUCCAACUUGCUAAGGCAGCAUUGUGAAAUUCAACUCGGAGCAGGAGAGUCGGUGGUUCGAAUCCACCCGAAGACA